GACGAAGAGGGUAAGGGUAUUUUAUUGGUUCGUAAUUAGUGUUAUUGAAGGACUAGAAAUAAGGUCUUGUUAGGUGAAAUUUUAAGCUUGGGAUUAGUCCAGUUUUGCGUAAAUGAAGUUGUGAAGUUUAGAUAAUAAACUGGGAUUAGAUACCCCACUAUUCUAAAAGUUAAAAUAAGGCCAGAGUAGUAAGAGUUAUGUGCUUGAAACUCAAAGAAUUUGGCGGUGUUUUAAUCCGAUCAGAGGAACCUGUCCCGUAAUCGAUAAUCCACGUUUAUUUAACUUGGUCUAGCAUUCAGCUUGUAUACCGCCGUCAAAAGAGUGAUUCAAGAGAAUACAUUCCUGGUUUCUGAUUAGAAAAGAUGUCAGGUCAAGGUGCAGCUUAUGAUUAAGGGGAGAUGGGUUACAAUAAUUUUAAUUAGACGGAGAUUUCUUUGUAAGGGGAGUUGAAGGUGGAUUUGGGUGUAAUGAAAAAUAUUAAAUUUUCAUGAUAUUGGCUCUAAAACAAGCACACAUCGCCCGUCGCUCUCGUUUUUU
RNAcentral lists this ribosomal RNA (537 nucleotides) under Epeorus aesculus. RNAcentral describes it as "partial 12S ribosomal RNA". Lineage: Eukaryota; Metazoa; Arthropoda; Insecta; Ephemeroptera; Heptageniidae. The record is from RNAcentral.